GUAUUAAGUUUCGCCCACUAGAGGCUAACACAUUCUACAAGACAUUGAAUAUAGUUUGUGAUAAAGGGGCAAAGUGCAGUCCCAACGGUUCGAGUUAACGACUCGCGGCUCCCAUGACGGAGGACUACAACUUUGAAAGUGCACAGGUGUUGAGUGGAUUUGAGCGGGGCCGAGCACAUGCUUCAGUUACGAAGCCAGCAUCAAGCCCACUUUCAAAACUCGAUAAUGAUCCUUCCGCAGGUUCACCUACGGAAA
This 255-nucleotide unclassified non-coding RNA is filed under the name uncultured fungus. Its description in RNAcentral is "sequence contains ITS1". Lineage: Eukaryota; Fungi. The record is from RNAcentral.